CUGGAAUCUGCGCUCGCACAGGGCUGACGUCACGCCUUGCUAGAAGUACUGAUCCCACCUGUUCUAUUUCCCAGCCCCUCUCCCCUCCUCCCUAUAGCAGCAGCAGAACUGGAGCAGACAAAGCUGGGUCGGGCACUUGAUGACAGAAUAGAAUCAUGGAAUCACAAGAUCCUUUGGGUUGGAAGUGGCUUUGAAGUUCAUCCCAUUCCACCCCUCUUCCCCUCUCCCAGGCUGCUCCAAGCCCCAUCCAACCUGGCCUCAGACACUUCCAAGGAUGGGGCAGCCACAGCUUCUCUGGGAAACCUGUGUGCCAGGACCUCACCACUCCUAUCAAACCUUCUUCAAGAUCAGACUUUAUCAACUAUUAUUUUUUUCUCACCAGGAUGAUUUCCAGCUGGAUCAUCUCUCAAGCCUGACUGCUGAGGAACAGCAGGAGGAGCAGCUGAGAUGCCCCCACAGCGGAUCUGUCACCCAAAGGAGAGGUAUCCCCUUAAAUCCAGGUAUUUCCUGCUGCCCGUGCUGUACCCUAAUCACAAAGCAGUGGGUUCAUCUCUUCCUGAAGGCUGAGCCAGAUGCUGCCUGUGAUUCCACCGUGCUCAGAAACCUCAGAGAUUUCAGUGCAGAAGUGUCCAGCUUCCCUUCCCCCAUGAAAUACCUGCAGGUCCCUGAUCCAGCUCUCAUUCUCCAGCUAAAAACCUGCAGUUCCCAGCUCCAGCUGUCCCUCUCCUGUGAAAUACCUGUGAUUCCCUGUCUUGGCAGAGCUCAGCUGCUGGAUCUGCUCCCUCCAAACCAGGCUGGAACACGUCAAACAGGAACAUUAACUGCUUUUCCAGCUGUCUGGAGCUCUGGAUCCAUAAAACACGCACUGAUGUUAAACCUCCCCACCUCACCAAGGAGAUGCCAGUGAUGCUGGGAUUCCUGGGUUGUUUUUUGGGGUUUUUUGAAAUGAUUUUUAGAGCUUGGAGGAAAUCCCUGCCAGGGGUGAUUUUUUUUCUGCAGGAGCUGCAAUGUGGAGCUGCUCCCCAGGCUGGCUGGGUGUCACUCCUUGGCAAAGGUAGGACAAGGCAAGUGGGACCACUGCCAGCAGCAGCUGCAGCAGGUGCCACCCUGGAGGGGUGGUGUCACAGAACCCCAGAGUGCUGUGGGUUGGAAGGGACCUUACAGAUCAUCCAGUUCCACCCCCUGCCAUGGGUUGAGACACCUUCCACCAUCCCAGUCUGCUCCAAGCCCCAUCCAGCCUGGUCUUGGGCACUUCCAGGGAUCCUGGGGCAGCCUAGCUUCUCUAGGAAAACCAUUCCAAGGCCUCUUCAUCCUCACAGACUCCAGAUGGGGAGAUGGAACAGCCCCAAACCUUGGACUCAGAUCUGUCUGUUCCCUGCAGCAGCACUGAGAGGCCUGAGGAACCCAGUCCAUAGCAGUUGGUCCCAAUUUUGGGUGGAAUGGGACAUUAACUGGGCCGGUCUGAAACCAAUUUGAGUCCAUCUUUGAACCUGAUUCCUCUCUGAGAUUGUUUGGGAUAGACCUGAUCCUAAAGGGAGCAGCAGACCAAGCAGACUAAACAUGCAAUAUUAAAUAGCAAGUGCUAAUAUGAGAGCCAUUAAACACGAGCCCUC
Molecule: long non-coding RNA, 1613 nt
Organism: Cyanistes caeruleus (blue tit)
Lineage: Eukaryota; Metazoa; Chordata; Aves; Passeriformes; Paridae
Source: Ensembl